This 100-nucleotide microRNA precursor is filed under the name Arabidopsis thaliana (thale cress). Its description in RNAcentral is "MIR1888 microRNA precursor family". It matches the Rfam family "MIR1888 microRNA precursor family". The record is from Rfam by way of RNAcentral. Lineage: Eukaryota; Viridiplantae; Streptophyta; Magnoliopsida; Brassicales; Brassicaceae.
CCAAAAUUUUAGGGUAAGAUUUGUGAAGAAAGAGCUCUUAUAUAAAAGUUUUUAUGCUUAUAUUUAAGUUUUUUUUCACAAAUUUUAAGCUAAGAUUUGG